UGGGGGAUAUUGCACAAUGGAGGAAACUCUGAUGCAGCAACGCCGCGUGAAGGAUGAAGGUCUCGGAUUGUAAACUUUUGUACUUGGGGACGAUAAUGACGGUACCCAAGCAGCAAGCUCCGGCUAACUACGUGCCAGCAGCCGCGGUAAUACGUAGGGAGCAAGCGUUGUCCGGAUUUACUGGGUGUAAAGGGUGCGUAGGCGGCUAUGCAAGUCAGUUGUGAAAACUAUGGGCUCAACCCAUAGCCUGCAAUUGAAACUGCG
This 264-nucleotide ribosomal RNA is filed under the name uncultured bacterium. RNAcentral's name for it is "partial 16S ribosomal RNA". It matches the Rfam family "Bacterial small subunit ribosomal RNA", at positions 355 to 637 of the family's 1533-position model. The record is from RNAcentral.